CGACAGCCGGGAGGGGAGGCAGGGCCCAGGACGCGAGGUGGCGACAAGUCGCUUUUGGCCCCAGGGGCUGUGGGGUCACCUUCUCCUCUCUCCUGCCACCCCAAGGCAUCUGCACUGUGUGUUAUGCAAUGAGAGAGCACCUUGGCCUGGACCUCAAGAGACCCACGUUUAGUUCUGCCUCUGUCAUGGCCUAGAGCAGUGGCCUCAGGUAAGUCAACUCACCUCUGUGGAGCUGGAGCCUCCUCUC
RNAcentral lists this long non-coding RNA (247 nucleotides) under Meriones unguiculatus (Mongolian gerbil). Its description in RNAcentral is "lncRNA (ENSMUGG00000015573.1)". Lineage: Eukaryota; Metazoa; Chordata; Mammalia; Rodentia; Muridae. The record is from RNAcentral.